RNAcentral lists this long non-coding RNA (344 nucleotides) under Salvia miltiorrhiza (redroot sage). RNAcentral's name for it is "long non-coding RNA (SMIL_LNC010192)". Lineage: Eukaryota; Viridiplantae; Streptophyta; Magnoliopsida; Lamiales; Lamiaceae. The record is from RNAcentral.
UGAGAAGCAGGCAGAGCCUCCGGGCUAUGAGACAAAAAGUUAUAGCCUACGGGUUAUAUGAGACAGAAAGUUAUAGCAUAUGGGCUAUAUGAGACAGAAAGUUAUAGCCUACGGGUUAUAUGAGAAAGAAAGUUAUAGCCUACGGGUUAUACGAGACAGAAAGUUAUAGCCUAUGGGCUAUAUGAGACAGAAAGUUAUAGCCUACGGGCUAUAUGAGACAUAAAGUUAUAUAGCCUUCGGGCUAAGAGACAGAAGGUUAUUGCUUUCGGGCAAUAUGAAAGAGCAGACAAUUUUUUUAUUGCACUUAUAUUUUGUUGUGAUUCUUAUAAUAUGGAUAAAUGCAC